Molecule: ribosomal RNA, 402 nt
Filed under: Triticum aestivum (bread wheat)
Lineage: Eukaryota; Viridiplantae; Streptophyta; Magnoliopsida; Poales; Poaceae
Description: partial small subunit ribosomal RNA
Source: RNAcentral
AUGAACAUGGUUCGUCCUGCUGGGCGUGGUACUGCGAGGGGUGUUGGGCUAUCGCGGAUGCCUACCCGUAGUUCCGUUGGUUUUGGGUCUGGGUUUGGUGUUCGUCCGCCUUCGUUUGCUUUGCGUGGCCGUUCUUCUUUUCUUGCUACCGGCAACCGUGGUGGUCGCCGUGGAAGUGGUGGUUUUCUUGGCGUUUCCCGCCCUGGUUCAUCUUCUAUCCACCGUUCUCCUUUGGGUCGUUUGGUUUCUUCGGCGGUUGGUUCUUCUGUGGUGGGUGGUGCUGUUGAGCGGCCGGGUCGGUUGUCGACUUCCUCGAUGGACUGGGCUGCUUCUGUCCCCGGUUUUUCGGGCGUGCAUGCUAUUAUGUCGUCUAUUUCUGCUGCACCUCCUUCGAUGAGUUAG